Molecule: long non-coding RNA, 863 nt
Organism: Mastomys coucha (southern multimammate mouse)
Lineage: Eukaryota; Metazoa; Chordata; Mammalia; Rodentia; Muridae
Exons: 4
Source: RefSeq, a predicted model, not a curated record
GCCCGUCCGGUAGCCUUCCUGGUAGCUGUAGCCCUGGUCCCAAUUCUGACUCUGACCUCCACCAGUGCCUCGGUUCCCUCGAUUGCGAUUUCCUCUGCCCCCAGAGCCAUACUGCUGUUGCUGAUACACCUCUUUGGGCUAGGCAACCUUGAUUUCACACUUGCAUCCACUGACGGAUCCUUCUUCAUAGCCAUGGCCUUUUUAGGGCCAAUGACACGACCAUCCAGUCUGUGCUCUGCUCCUUCUGAUCAAAGACCUUCUCCACCACCGGAAGAAUCCUUGAAGAGCUACAAGGAUCAAGGUGAACACAGCAAGGAAUGUGUGACUUCCCUUUUGCCUUGGUAAUCCUGUUUAUAACAGAAAGAAUUCCCAAAAGCCUCUAAAGUUUCUCCCACGAGGUCUCAGAAGAUGUGGACGCAGCUACAGGAUGCCGCCUGGAUUGUGAUAUGACAAUCACUGAAAUACGCAGUGGGCAAACUGGAUCCUCUUGAGUCAAAUGGCUUGGCUAAAAUAAAGUCCAGGCACUUAACUAUAUCCAGGACAGCUCCAGAGAAGCCACCUUCAGAUGCUCCAUCUCCUGUGAGAGACGCUUCUUACUGGACCUGUCCUUCUGACCUAUCCUCAGAUGGUUCCACAGGCCCUGGACAGCAAGGAGACAGCCAACUCUCCUAAGACUGGACAAACAUCCACCAUACCCAUUCCUCUAGGUUCUCCAGAGACAUGUCACCCCAAUGUCAGCAGGAAGCAGCCAGAUAUCACAACAACCCUAUUCCUGCUUUGCCAUCACCUCUUCUAAUUUUUUUUUCUUAACUAAACCCAAAUGGGGGAAUGUUAGCAUUCUGUAUAAACUCCACCCCCACAGA